UGGGUCACCUACCUUUCAGUGAGGAAUACCGGCGAGAAAUCGCCGACAAGACCGCAUAGGCUCUCUUGGCAACGAGAGAGCAAAGUCCUUUCGCAAGAGAGGAUGCUGGAAGAUGGGCCUGUGGCCGAUUAGCUGGUUGGUAGGGUAAUGGCUUACCAAGGCUUCGAUCGGUAACUGGUCUGAGAGGACGAUCAGCCACACUGGGAUUGAGAACGGCCCAG
This 221-nucleotide ribosomal RNA is filed under the name uncultured bacterium. Its description in RNAcentral is "partial 16S ribosomal RNA". It matches the Rfam family "Bacterial small subunit ribosomal RNA", at positions 118 to 334 of the family's 1533-position model. The record is from RNAcentral.